GAUGAAGAACGUAGCAAAAUGCGAUAAGUAAUGUGAAUUGCAGAAAUCAGUGAAUCAUCGAAUCUUUGAACGCACAUUGCGCCCGCCAGUAUUCUGGCGGGCAUGCCUGUUCGAGCGUCAUUUCAACCCUCAAGCACAGCUUGGUGUUGGGACUCGCGUUAAUUCGCGUUCCUCAAAUUGAUUGGCGGUCACGUCGAGCUUCCAUAGCGUAGUAGUAAAACCCUCGUUACUGGUAAUCGUCGCGGCCACGCCGUUAAACCCCAACUUCUGAAUGUUGACCUCGGAUCAGGUAGGAAUACCCGCUGAACUUAAGCAUAUCAAUAAGCGGAGGA
This 332-nucleotide unclassified non-coding RNA is filed under the name soil metagenome. RNAcentral's name for it is "partial contains 5.8S ribosomal RNA, internal transcribed spacer 2, and large subunit ribosomal RNA". The stretch from base 1 to 120 matches the Rfam family "5.8S ribosomal RNA", at positions 35 to 154 of the family's 154-position model. The record is from RNAcentral.